This 93-nucleotide transfer RNA is filed under the name Escherichia coli. Its description in RNAcentral is "tRNA-Ser". It matches the Rfam family "tRNA". From Rfam's summary of the family: Transfer RNA (tRNA) molecules are approximately 80 nucleotides in length. Their secondary structure includes four short double-helical elements and three loops (D, anti-codon, and T loops). RNAcentral also lists the same sequence under 5 other names. The record is from RNAcentral. Lineage: Bacteria; Pseudomonadati; Pseudomonadota; Gammaproteobacteria; Enterobacterales; Enterobacteriaceae.
GGUGAGGUGGCCGAGAGGCUGAAGGCGCUCCCCUGCUAAGGGAGUAUGCGGUCAAAAGCUGCAUCCGGGGUUCGAACCCCCGCCUCACCGCCA